Molecule: ribosomal RNA, 252 nt
Filed under: uncultured bacterium
Lineage: Bacteria
Description: partial 16S ribosomal RNA
Rfam family: Bacterial small subunit ribosomal RNA
Source: RNAcentral
UACGUAGGUCCCGAGCGUUGUCCGGAUUUAUUGGGCGUAAAGCGAGCGCAGGUGGUUUAUUAAGUCUGGUGUAAAAGGCAGUGGCUCAACCAUUGUAUGCAUUGGAAACUGGUAGACUUGAGUGCAGGAGAGGAGAGUGGAAUUCCAUGUGUAGCGGUGAAAUGCGUAGAUAUAUGGAGGAACACCGGUGGCGAAAGCGGCUCUCUGGCCUGUAACUGACACUGAGGCUCGAAGGCGUGGGUAGCGAACAGG